Molecule: ribosomal RNA, 251 nt
Filed under: uncultured bacterium
Lineage: Bacteria
Description: partial 16S ribosomal RNA
Rfam family: Bacterial small subunit ribosomal RNA
Source: RNAcentral
CGAAGGAGUGGCGAACGGGUGAGUAAUACAUAAGCAACCUACCCCACGAAGACUGGGGAUAAUCUCUGGAAACGGGGACUAAUACCGGAUAGGUAAUCGGAAGGCAUCUUCUGGUUAUUAAAGGUUAAAAAACACUGGUGGAUGGGCUUAUGGCGCAUUAGUUAGUUGGUGAGGUAACGGCCCACCAAGACGAUGAUGCGUAGCCGGCCUGAGAGGGUGAACGGCCACAUUGGGACUGAGACACGGCCCAG